GACGAACGCUGGCGGCGUGCUUAACACAUGCAAGUCGAGCGGUAAGGCCCUUUCGGGGGUACACGAGCGGCGAACGGGUGAGUAACACGUGGGUGACCUGCCCUCAGCUCUGGGAUAAGCCUGGGAAACUGGGUCUAAUACUGGAUAUGACUCCACGGUGCAUGUCGUGGGGUGGAAAGCCUUGUGCGGCUGAGGAUGGGCCCGCGGCCUAUCAGCUUGUUGGUGGGGCGANGGCCUACCAAGGCGACGACGGGUAGCCGGCCUGAGAGGGCGACCGGCACACUGGGACUGAGACACGGCCCAGACUCCUACGGGAGGCAGCAGUGGGGAAUCUUGCGCAAUGGGCGAAAGCCCUGACGCAGCGACGCCGCGUGAGGGAU
This 380-nucleotide ribosomal RNA is filed under the name uncultured bacterium. RNAcentral's name for it is "bacterial SSU rRNA". It matches the Rfam family "Bacterial small subunit ribosomal RNA", at positions 28 to 409 of the family's 1533-position model. The record is from RNAcentral.